RNAcentral lists this ribosomal RNA (253 nucleotides) under uncultured bacterium. RNAcentral's name for it is "partial 16S ribosomal RNA". It matches the Rfam family "Bacterial small subunit ribosomal RNA", at positions 524 to 776 of the family's 1533-position model. The record is from RNAcentral.
UACGAAGGGGGCAAGCGUUGUUCGGAGUUACUGGGCGUAAAGGGCGCGUAGGCGGUUUUUCAAGUCAGAUGUGAAAGCCCUGGGCUUAACCUGGGAAUGGCAUUUGGGACUGAAAGACUUGAGAUCGGGAGAGGUGAGUGGAAUUCCCAGUGUAGAGGUGAAAUUCGUAGAUAUUGGGAAGAACACCGGUGGCGAAGGCGGCUCACUGGACCGAAUCUGACGCUGAGGCGCGAAAGCGUGGGGAGCAAACAGG